RNAcentral lists this ribosomal RNA (485 nucleotides) under uncultured bacterium. RNAcentral's name for it is "partial 16S ribosomal RNA". It matches the Rfam family "Bacterial small subunit ribosomal RNA", at positions 29 to 507 of the family's 1533-position model. The record is from RNAcentral.
AUGCACGCUGGCGGCGUGCCUAAUACCUGCAAGUCGAACGCUGGAAAUCUAGCUUGCUAGAUUGAAGGAGUGGCGAACGGGUGAGUAAUACAUAAGCAACCUACCCACGAAGACUGGGAUAAUCUCUGGAAACGGGGACUAAUACCGGAUAGGUAAUCGGAAGGCAUCUUCUGAUUAUUAAAGGUUAAAAACACUGGUGGAUGGGCUUAUGGCGCAUUAGUUAGUUGGUGAGGUAACGGCCCACCAAGACGAUGAUGCGUAGCCGGCCUGAGAGGGUGAACGGCCACAUUGGGACUGAGACACGGCCCAGACUCCUACGGGAGGCAGCAGUAGGGAAGUUUCGGCAAUGGGGGAAACCCUGACCGAGCAACGCCGCGUGAGUGAUGACGGCCUUCGGGUUGUAAAGCUCUGUUGUAAGGGAAGAACGGUAGAUAGAGAAUAUCUAAAUGACGGUACCUUACCAGAAAGCCACGGCUAACUACGUG